UACGUAGGGUGCGAGCGUUAAUCGGAAUUACUGGGCGUAAAGCGUGCGCAGGCGGAUUGUUAAGCAAGACGUGAAAUCCCCGGGCUUAACCUGGGAAUGGCGUUUUGAACUGGCAGUCUAGAGUGUGUCAGAGGGGGGUAGAAUUCCACGUGUAGCAGUGAAAUGCGUAGAGAUGUGGAGGAAUACCAAUGGCGAAGGCAGCCCCCUGGGAUAACACUGACGCUCAUGUACGAAAGCGUGGGUAGCAAACAGGAGGAGAUAACCCUGUAGUCC
This 273-nucleotide ribosomal RNA is filed under the name uncultured bacterium. RNAcentral's name for it is "partial 16S ribosomal RNA". It matches the Rfam family "Bacterial small subunit ribosomal RNA", at positions 524 to 796 of the family's 1533-position model. The record is from RNAcentral.